This 253-nucleotide ribosomal RNA is filed under the name uncultured bacterium. RNAcentral describes it as "partial 16S ribosomal RNA". It matches the Rfam family "Bacterial small subunit ribosomal RNA", at positions 524 to 776 of the family's 1533-position model. The record is from RNAcentral.
UACGUAGGAGGCGAGCGUUGUCCGGAAUUACUGGGCGUAAAGGAUGCGUAGGCGGCUCCUUAAGUGAGGUGUGAAAUCCCUGGGCUCAACCCAGGAACUGCACUUCAAACUGGGGAGCUAGAGUGCAGGAGAGGAAAGCGGAAUUCCCGGUGUAGCGGUGAAAUGCGUAGAGAUCGGGAGGAUCACCAGUGGCGAAGGCGGCUUUCUGGUCUGUAACUGACGCUGAGGCACGAAAGCGUGGGGAGCAAACAGG